Molecule: ribosomal RNA, 604 nt
Filed under: uncultured Xanthomonas sp.
Lineage: Bacteria; Pseudomonadati; Pseudomonadota; Gammaproteobacteria; Lysobacterales; Lysobacteraceae
Description: bacterial SSU rRNA
Rfam family: Bacterial small subunit ribosomal RNA
Source: RNAcentral
GUGCCAGCAGCCGCGGUAAUACGAAGGGUGCAAGCGUUACUCGGAAUUACUGGGCGUAAAGCGUGCGUAGGUGGUUUGUUAAGUCUGAUGUGAAAGCCCUGGGCUCAACCUGGGAAUUGCAUUGGAUACUGGCAGGCUAGAGUGCGGUAGAGGGUAGUGGAAUUCCCGGUGUAGCAGUGAAAUGCGUAGAGAUCGGGAGGAACAUCCGUGGCGAAGGCGACUACCUGGACCAGCACUGACACUGAGGCACGAAAGUGUGGGGAGCAAACAGGAUUAGAUACCCUGGUAGUCCACGCCCUAAACGAUGCGAACUGGAUGUUGGGUUCAACUAGGAACUCAGUAUCGAAGCUAACGCGUUAAGUUCGCCGCCUGGGGAGUACGGUCGCAAGACUGAAACUCAAAGGAAUUGACGGGGGCCCGCACAAGCGGUGGAGUAUGUGGUUUAAUUCGAUGCAACGCGAAGAACCUUACCUGGCCUUGACAUGCACGGAACUUUCCAGAGAUGGAUUGGUGCCUUCGGGAACCGUGACACAGGUGCUGCAUGGCUGUCGUCAGCUCGUGUCGUGAGAUGUUGGGUUAAGUCCCGCAACGAGCGCAACCCUUG